Molecule: ribosomal RNA, 373 nt
Filed under: uncultured organism
Description: bacterial SSU rRNA
Rfam family: Bacterial small subunit ribosomal RNA
Source: RNAcentral
CAGAGGGUGCGAGCGUUAGUCCGGAAUCACUGGGCGUAAAGGGCGCGUAGGUGGCGGCCCAAGUCCAUGGUGAAAGCUCGAUGCUCAACAUCGAGUCGGCCACGGAUACUGGGUUGCUCGAGCACUGUAGAGGCAGAUGGAAUUCCGGGUGUAGCGGUGGAAUGCGUAGAGAUCCGGAAGAACACCGGUGGCGAAGGCGGUCUGCUGGGCAGUAGCUGACACUGAGGCGCGACAGCGUGGGGAGCAAACAGGAUUAGAUACCCUGGUAGUCCACGCCGUAAACGAUGGGCACUAGAUGCUUGGGGGAGCGACCCCCUGAGUGUCGUCGCUAACGCAGUAAGUGCCCCGCCUGGGGAGUACGGCCGCAAGGCUG